AUGCUUCUACUGACAAACAGACUACAAAAUGCUUACAUUGAUAGCUACAGUUAUUGUUGCUCUUUUCUUGCAUAUAAGGAAAAAAGCAUUAUGACAGUAGCAUGGCUUGGCCCGGCAGUCAUCAUGCUAGCCUGCUUGGUGUUGUCCCUAAUCUCCACACUGCCUGAAAUGCCAUCUCAUUUUGCCACCAGCCUGGAAGCAACAACAAAACGCGUGUGGAGUGCACUUGCUGUGCGCAUGUACUGUCAACGAGUCGGCUAUCCUUACUGUACUCUGCAGAUGGGUAUUCCUUCCACAUGUUCAUGGAAAUUUCCAGUGACAUUAGUCACCAGGAUUAUGGCCCCUGGCCCUCUACAGUAG
This 360-nucleotide ribosomal RNA is filed under the name Triticum aestivum (bread wheat). Its description in RNAcentral is "partial small subunit ribosomal RNA". Lineage: Eukaryota; Viridiplantae; Streptophyta; Magnoliopsida; Poales; Poaceae. The record is from RNAcentral.